AACGAACGCUGGCGGCAGGCUUAACACAUGCAAGUCGAGCGAGACCUUCGGGUCUAGCGGCGGACGGGUGAGUAACGCGUGGGAACGUGCCCUUCUCUACGGAAUAGCCCCGGGAAACUGGGAGUAAUACCGUAUACGCCCUUUGGGGGAAAGAUUUAUCGGAGAAGGAUCGGCCCGCGUUGGAUUAGGUAGUUGGUGGGGUAAUGGCCCACCAAGCCGACGAUCCAUAGCUGGUUUGAGAGGAUGAUCAGCCACACUGGGACUGAGACACGGCCCAGACUCCUACGGGAGGCAGCAGUGGGGAAUCUUAGACAAUGGGGGCAACCCUGAUCUAGCCAUGCCGCGUGAGUGAUGAAGGCCCUUAGGGUUGUAAAGCUCUUCA
This 382-nucleotide ribosomal RNA is filed under the name Paracoccus marcusii. Its description in RNAcentral is "bacterial SSU rRNA". It matches the Rfam family "Bacterial small subunit ribosomal RNA", at positions 29 to 437 of the family's 1533-position model. The record is from RNAcentral. Lineage: Bacteria; Pseudomonadati; Pseudomonadota; Alphaproteobacteria; Rhodobacterales; Paracoccaceae.